GAGGAAGGGAACACUAGGAGAACAAAAGCCUUUUGAAUUUUAUUAAAUGAAACAUGAAAAUAUAUGUUUCAUGUCCUUUCUUUGUGGAUGGAAGUGCUUUCAUUGUUUGAAGCCAAAAGUUUGCCAUCAUUCUCUGGGAAUCAAGAAAGUGACUUGGAUCUCGAGGAAAUUCUUCAGAACUGGGACAAUGGGUCAUUUCUUCCAGAAUAUUUCAUAAAUUCGAUGUAACUUAGGAGAAGUUUUAUAUUAAUUCCAAUUUCUUUUACAGACACUUUAGGAAGUGGUGGCAUUGAUCAGAAAAUGAGACAGUUGGAUGGUGAAUACUGCAAUUAGAGAGAUUGUUUACUAUGUACAGUUUAAACUUGACAGAUUUUUUACAUCUGAAUAUGUAAUGAUUUUGAGAUUUACUCCAUCAUACCCCCAAACAAUAAUUAAAUAAUUAAAAUGAAGAAGAAAUUAAAUUAUAUCUUGAUAAUCUGCUUGGUGUACCUCCAUGCUGUGGACUGCAAUAUGGCACUGAGAUACCUGAAAUAGCUUUGAAACUACUGGCUCCAUUAACAAUAAUAGUCAUUAUGUAUUUGAGCGCAUUUGAACUCAAACAUAGUCUUGAUGAAGAAAAAGCAAUGUUGAGUUGUACUGUAGGUCAAUAUUUCUUCAUGACCACCUUCUCAUCCAAAGAAACCCCUGAAUCAAACAAAACAUUGUCUGGCAGGAUAAUAGGCAGCAUUUUCUGGCAAUAAACUGUGGUAGCUAUAUGUGCAUGAUGUCCAUGCCAGGUGGUUUUUAUAUCUGGCUUUAAAAAUAAGGGAUUUAGGUGUUAAAGGUGCAGAAACAAAUUCUUCUAUGGCAUAUACAGAGAAUUUCCUGACCAGUUGACCAUUCUGGAGUGAAUUAAUUAUAUGGUGCAUGCACCAAGGAGAAAAGUAAGAUGUGUGACAUAAUUUGCUGCAAAACCAAAAUAUAUAUGCAGGUUUUAUGACACCUGAUUCACUCCAGACAUCUCAUAACAUUUUUACGUUGGGAUUAUCUGUUGAUUGAUCAGCCUACUGUGUGUUUUGGUUAGGAAGUAUAAUUGGCUGAAUACAAUCCUUACACAGCAGCAACUGUUUACUGUCAGAUUUCUGAUUAUUUUUAUAACAAAACUUUUAAUUCACUACUUUUUGUCAAAAUUUUGGUGAUUAAACUUAAAUCAAAAUUAAUGAGUGUAUGAAAUGUACACUGUGGAAUUUCACAGCAUAAAUACUACUGUUGACUACCUGGCUCUGAUUUUCCAAAAAAUCAUUAUUUCAGUUAAAACAGCUGCAUAAAAUAUUUUGAAACUUGCAUGGAGAACCCCCUUCCCCCCAACAGUACAAUUCCUUUGUCUGUGACUCCUGUUUUCAGAGCUGAACAUGCAGAGGGAUGCUUUACAAGAGAACGUAUUGUGGCAUUUGUUUGAAGAUGUUAGUCUCGUGAUUCUGCUGUAGAAUGAUGAAGCAAUGGUACUACAGUUUAUAAGAAAAAAAUAUGUAUAGGGGAGAAGUGUGUUAAUCCUUAUGUUUUUUACAAUGGGUACAGCAUGAAGAAGAACUAUUUAUGGUGGUGUGACAAGGAAAUGGAAGAAGAAAUGAUUUAUACGUAUAUGAUUUAUAGAAACCGUCACAUAACUUUCUAAUUUAAGAUUGGAAUGUUUUCUUAUGAAGAUUAAAGAAUGUUGUGGCUUGUGAUGUUGAAAUAUAGGUGCAAUAGGGUGAAUAGUAAAUUCUUACUGUUUCCUAAAGUCACUGGGUUUUGUAUCCAUACGUGGGUUAAAAGCUUUAUUCUGUCGUUAUUAUACCAUUCGAGUAAUUCUGUCAAAAUAAAUGUUGCAUUUUGGGAGUCAGAA
Columba livia (rock pigeon) is the source of this 1864-nucleotide long non-coding RNA. RefSeq lists it as uncharacterized. The transcript is spliced from 2 exons. Lineage: Eukaryota; Metazoa; Chordata; Aves; Columbiformes; Columbidae. The record is from RefSeq and is a predicted model, not a curated record.